Portunus trituberculatus (swimming crab) is the source of this 2006-nucleotide long non-coding RNA. RefSeq lists it as uncharacterized. The transcript has 7 exons. NCBI's taxonomy places the organism in Eukaryota, Metazoa, Arthropoda, Malacostraca, Decapoda, Portunidae. The record is from RefSeq and is a predicted model, not a curated record.
UUCGCUUCCGUCGCAAAGCAGUAUUUUUUUUUUCUUUUUUUCCAUUCCCCUCCCCCCGUCCCUUAUGAAUCGACGCCACCGCUGGCUGAACCAUCCAUCCUAUUUCAACUUGCCUAUUUAAUGAAAACCAACCUAGCCUGACUGAAUCUAGCUAACGUAAUGUAUUGGAGGUACCGCUGAUGCGUCUUCUUCAGAACAAAUUAACUUUAUCUAACCUAACUAAACUGAUUUAACCAAAGUAAACUAGCCUAACCUGACUUGUAAUGCUGAGAAAUUAAUAUGAAAUUGUUACCUUAUUUCUCUUAAUAGAAUCUGGCUAUACAAUUGAGGAAGCAUCCUGCCUAUUCACACAUCUUCCACAGACUAAUUCAAACUGAGUGCUGAUGGGUGACUUCAAUUUACCAUCUAUUAAUUGGUCUGGUCCUUUUCCAGUUAGUAGCUCUUUAAUCAGUCACUUAUUCAUCAAACUCUUUGUUUCCCUUGGCCUCACACAAUGGGUUAAAUUUCUUACUUUUCUUAGUUCUGGUAAUUUGGUUUUUACUUCCGAGCAUGAUUGUGUAUCUAAACUUGACAGCAUUGUAUAUUUUAGAAAAUUUUUUUACUUUUUAACACCACAUACUUUUAGUGUGGCCAAUUCACUAUUUAGUGUAACAGUUGGUGUGAUCAGAUCAAAGUCAAAAUGAGUGUGUCAGUGGCAGAGGAUGUUGCUCUUGCAUAUUCAGAGUCUCUGUCCACCCCACCAACACGAGGAAUGGGAGGGAACCCAAGACCCAACCCUACCGCCACUGCUGCCCUCCAAUAGGUUGCUGUAGACAUUGGGAGGAAACUGGGAAGCCAUUAUCCUCGCUCUUCAUUUAUCCUCAAAGUGUUCCACUUGUGCAAUAGAAUGCCAUGCUCCACUUUCCCAUCAUCUUUGCUCUAGUCUAGACAGGCCACGUGGACAUUAUUGCUGUCUUCUCUGUAUUGGACAAUGUUGUCACACUGGCUCAGUAGCUAGUGAUAAAUUUGUUGCAGGCUCGGAAUCCAUGUUGAUGACUGAGAUGACAUCCCAGGUGGAGUGAGAUGUGCACUGUUGUACACCACUACCCUUAGUGUGCCUGCCUGCUUGCUGUCACAGCACCCAACACUUACACAUCACCAGUUAGACACGCAGGCCAGACCACGCCAGGCCAGAGUCCAGCAGGCUGCCACCCACCACUGCAGCCAGCUCCUCGUGGCUCCCUGCAGGAAAGCCAUAGCGUUUGUGUUGACAGGCACCACCAUGAGUGUUCUGCAGCAGCAGCAGCUGCAGCAGUCUGUUUUAGGCACACUGCAGUAAGGAGAGUGUUUCUAGCAAGGGAAUGAGCAUACCGUCCUGCACCCAAAAUGGCCAAAAUGGAGAGGCUGGGCAUACUGACACAUGACCACCACAGUAGCAUAACAGCUCUGAGCAGGAGGGUGAUGUACUUACCAUCACCACACUUCUUCAAGGUCUGAGUGGUUUCUCUUGGAGCUAUGGAAGGCAAUGGAGGAGGUGAUAGAAUACCUGAUGGAGAUGUGGGGUCUGCAUGCAACACCUCCUUAUGUUGACACUUGUGGUGACCUCAUGAUGUUUGUUAGCAAGCUGGUGGAGUUACAGGAACAGAGGAAUGAACAAUUGCUGUGCAUCAGCUGCAGCCUCUGGAACAGGCUGCCCCAUGGUAACACUGGCUUGAGGUCACGCCAGGUACUGUAGAGACCAUUGAGGUGGUUGUUGCUGCUGCUGCUCCUCAAAGCUCCUGGCAGGAGAGUGCAAGACUACACCAGCACUCUAUUGGCUAACCUUAGCUGCAAGAGGAUUAAUGUUGGCUCUCUUGACCCUCACCCUGAAAUGUUAUGUGCGAAGCUGGUUGAAAACUUCCAGAGACGCUGCUGCUGCUGCUUGAUCUUGAUGCAACAGGUGGCUCAGAAUUUCUUCUCCUGAGGCAGGCUUAUUAAAGGCAGCUCCUGUAGGGAAGAGAAAAAAAAAUGGCAAAACAUAGAUCUGA